UCUCCAGACGUCGCUGAUCUCGUGCAACUGUUGUUUAGCUAAAUUUUUCUUUAGAACCAACUCUGGUUUUGUGGCUCUCGGGUUGUAGCCAAUAUUCUAUGUGAUUCAACUUAAAUCAUACGUGAUCUCUCUAAUUAUUUGAUGGGUUUUCGUUCUCUUUUAUGUGGUAUUAUGAAUUUCAUUCACGGGUAAUAUGAAUUUUUUGAAAUAAUUGCGAUUUGUGUUUCUAAUGUUUACAGAUCUGGGUUCAUGGCAUCACGUAUUCGAUUAUCUUCUGGUAAGCUCUCUGUCAACAAUGAACUCUAUCCCAACCAACAAUAAUCAUUGCAACUUGAUAGUUGAUAAUGUAAAAACCAAAAUGUGUGUUUAGUUUUUUGGCAUGGAAAAAGUGUGGGCUGUAGAGUAUGAACAGAAAUUAGAAAUCAUAGAGAUGCAAUGAUGCAUGUUCCUAUAGUAUAAGAUUCAACUAGUUACGGGCAAAUGUGUGUUUCCAUAUAUCUCCCAAGUUGUAAUCCUUGACAAAAGACUAAAAUAAAGUAUAAGCUUAUCACAACCUGAGUUAAUGUCAUCACAUACAUACCAGUCAAAGAUAUAUUUUCUGAAACUACAACCUUCUCUUUACAAGAGUCUAAAUGAGGCUGCUUAUUCUGUAAGAUCCUUCUGUUAAUGAGGAAAAGCAUGUUUAACAUAACAAUAUUUUGCGUUUAACUUAUGAUUACUCCAAGUACUUGACAUGGUAUUAUUAGCAAAUGGCAGUUCAAUCCAUUCAGUACUCCCCUAGACUACAUUGUGAAGUGUUAGUAUUCAGUAGGGUAAAGGUUGAAAUUGGCCUUAAAUUAGAACUGACAUUGUAAUUCUUUGCUAUACAAUGCAUCUGUGCCUUGAACUUUGAUAGGCUUAUAUAAGUCAGAAGCUUAUUUGUUUAGAUUUGUCACAUCCCGACUCUAAAAUUUUUACAUUAUUUAUUAGCUUGGUAUUAAUAAAAGUUUUACCGUUUUCGUCAAUGAGUUUAUAGUUUAAAUGGUCCUCAAAGGGGUUUUGAGGGACGAUUAUUUCGGAGGAAUUGCUCGUAGGAGAAAAUUUUGACGACGGUAAAAAUGGUAAUUUCAACUAGUAAAAGGUAAUUUUUUAUUAGGGUAUUUUUAUUGGGGUAUUUUAUUUUAUGGAGUGGGGUGUUUUAAGUGUGACCGGGCCAUUUUUGGGGUCAAAGCCCACACUCCCUCACUUCUCUCUCUCUUCUCUCCCUGAUUUCUCCCGAAGCUCUCUCUCUCACUCUCACUGUCGGAAGCUUCCCGCCGUCCGCCCGUCGCCGUCCGGCCAGCCCUAACUGCCACUCCGGUCUCGAACAAGCCACUGUCCCCUCCUCUCUCUUCCUAGGCCGAUGUGCAAGCCAACAGCGCCGCCGAACGGGAGAAAUCUCCUCCUAGGAGCUCGGCUGCCCUCUCGUCGGAACUUCCUCCUCCGCCCACCAAUCCGGAUAAGCCUUAUACGGUUUUGAAGGUCUUCAACCUAGUUGCCUUGCCCUAAAAGGACUCACUCCGAUUCGCUUCAGGUGAGGAGAAAUGUGGAGUGGAAAUUUCUAGAGCUCUUUUGUUGUUUUUAGUCGAUUACCUUAGUUAGGCUUGGAAUUGAUGUUUGUGCUAAUUAAGAAAGUUGUAGAGGGGGUUGAGAGGAAGAUACUGUCAAAAUUUCAUAAGCAUUGGAGGUCGCCGGAGACGCCUCCGGCCGCCGCUGUUUGGGAGAUUAUUAUGGUUUUAAAUGUGGAAUAUUAAGGGAAGUUUAUUGAUGUGAAUUAUGGAAUUUUUGGAGGAGUUUUGGACGGGUUUGUGAUUUUCCGAAGUUUAGUAUUUUUAGCGGUUAAUUAAUGUAGAAUCCGGCUUUAAGAUUUCAAUCAUUGUUCUGGGGAGGUUGUUGUAAUACCCCAGAAAUUUGAUUUUAGUUUCUAAUGUUAUUUGGGAAUUUUUGAGUUAGAAGUAGUGUGUUUGAGGUUCGAAAGAAGAGUGGAAGUGUUCAGAUGCGUAAUUUACUCGAAAGGGUUUCUUUUUCAUUCAGGGUCAUAGAGUUGACUUUUUAUUCAUUGGGUUUCUUGAGAAACUUUCUUCACGAAAGUUGUAGAGCAUGACGAUAUGAGUUCGUAGACACGUGGCACACGUAGAACGGACUUCGUAUGAGAAAGUUAUGGUCAACGGAAGUUUGCGGCGUUACGAGAAUUUUGGGUUAAAUAGGAAAGUUUUCUCUUGAGUCCUCACAUUUUUCAGAAAACCCAAAUCCUUCCCUCUCCUUCUCUCUCCCCGACCCCGAGAGAGUGCAAAACGCCCAGCCGACCCGACCUGGACCCGGUCAACCCGACCCGACUUUUCCAGCUGACUCCGGCCGACCCAGACGACGGCACCGGUCGAAAAAGCUUCCUCUCCUCGGCGCAAGGCUCCCUGUGUUGGCGAGUGAAGACGAUAUGGACGGAUCGGCGCUGAUCGAGCGCCAACAGUGAGGGCGACGACCCGGAUUGCAACCCGACCGGUUCUCACCUCCGGCGGCAGUAGCAAGGCUGAAACCAGUCGGGAUAGGAAGUGUUGGACGUCCUCGUUCGAUCCCUGGUGGUGUUGAAGCUCGACUCACGGCGGAGAGUGGCGGUGGUGGAUCCUAAUCUUUCCGGCGAGUUUCCGGCAUGUUUCCGGCCGAUUGGGGCGAAACCUCAGGUAUUAAAAGUGUUCCUUUUGCUGUGCUCUUUAAUGUUGCGGAUGGAAGUUUGUUGAGUUGUUGAAGUUUCGGGGUGGCGCGUGGUGCCCACUCGCCGCCGCUUGUGGUGGCCCGUGCCGGCGAGUCCGGUAGUGUCUGUGGUGUUUUACGGUGUUUGUUAGGUAGUACUCUUCGUUACGAACGUGUUGGUAUGUGGGUUGUAGGUUUUGGUUACCAUUAUUGCAUGCUAGGGUUUCCACUUGGUGCUAAGUUCCGUUCGGUUCAGUUUUGGGUAAAUCCGAGCAUGAGAAUCUGGUUAGUAGUUCUAUAGGUUGUGUAGGACGUUUCGGUGACCUUUUAGAGGUCAAGGAGGAGGAUUUGUCUCGAGUGACAAACUCGUGGGUUAGGACAUGAGUUUCCGUUCGAGUCGGAUAAUGUUGUUGUUGAUAGUUACUAAGGUUAACGUUUUUGUUAAUUGGUGACUUGUGGAGUAUGGUUUUGAGCUAUAUGCUUGUGUUGUGCGUGUGAAGACGCAGCGGGAGUUAAGGUGAGUAAAAUCUCACCAAGGUCCACUUUGUAGCCUAUUUAUUUUGAUGAUGAUUUGAUGAUGAUUGUGAUGUUGAUUUUGAUGAUAAUUAAGAUGAUGAUUGUGAUGUUGAUUUUGGUGAUGGUUGUGAUGUUGGUUUUGAUGGUGAUAAUCAUUAUGAUAAUUAUUAUAAUGAUGAUUAUGAUGGUGAUUUUGAUGAUGAUUUUGAUGAUGAUUGUGAUGGUGAUUUUCAUGAUGAUGAUAAUUAUGGGUAAGUGUGAAGUUAUCCUUGAAAGAAAAUGAUUUUGUUUUUAAAUAUAAAUGAGCUUGAUCGUCAACGGCUCAUGGUAAGUGAAAACACGUUUUCUGUUAAUAAUAUAAUCUUUCAAAAGGACUUCCGAUCAUGAGUCAUAAUUAGAGUCGGUAGAUUAUCCUUUUUUUAAUAUUUAUAUCCACGUGUUUAUGUGUGAAAGGCACGUUAUGAUAAUGUGAUAGUGUGAUGUAGAAUUGUUUGUUUAAUUAGUCAAACCUGGUUCCAAGCCUUUAAUCAGGUGAUUGGUUACGGUUAUGAUGAUAUUAUUAUUUUUGUGAUCUGAUAAGUGUUAUGACGUGAGAGUAAUAGAAUGUGUGCCUUAGUGGUGAGUGAGUGCAUUCGUUGUGGAAUGGUGCCUUAGUGGUGAUUGUUGCAUUAGUUGUGAAUAUGUGUGUCGUAGUGGUGAUGGUGUACAUUAGAUUAGGAGCCUUCGUGGUGGACCAGGAACCAAGCCUUGGCCGGGUGAUUGGUUACGGUCAGUAUAGAGCUAUAGUCUGUCGGUACUUCAUGGGGGAUGACUAUGUGUUGACGAACCCAUGAGUACGUGUUUGUCUAGUUACUUAUGGGGGAUGACUAUGCGUUGACGAACCUAUAAGUAAGAGUAGAGAAAUGAUUGUGUGAUGUUUUUAUAUGAUGUCAUUUAAUUUCCUUGUUUCGAGUAUUUCCUGAACUAUGCUUGUCCGUAGGAGAUUCUCUAAUUUUAAUUGUGUGAUUUUAAUGGAAUUCCUGAACUAUACUUUUUGCUGGAUUUCAUUUAUGAUUUUGAGUGAUUGUGAAUUGUUGUGUUUUCUUAAUUUCUCCUUUCGAUUUCUCUUGUUUGUAAGUGUUUUUCUGAAUUUAUUUUUAAUGCAUGAACUCUUGGUGUUUACCUUAUGUGUUGUUGGGUUGAGUAUGUUGUUAGAGAUUUACUCAUACGAGCUUUUAAAGCUUACCGGGUUUGUUGUUUACAACCCGGUGCACCAAUCCAUGGUGCAGAGGUUGUUUUUGCAGGUCAGGAUUAGCAGAGUUGAGGCUGCGGCAGUUAGGCUUGUUCCUUGUGUUUACUUUCUAGAUUUUUGUGAGUAUUGAGGGAGGUUUUACUUGUUUCAAAUUAUUCUUUCACAAGUUGUAAAACUAAAGUGUUGUAAAGUUUGUUUUUCUUUUAGUUAUCAUGCCUUGAAUUUGGAAUUUUUAUUUAUCCAAAAUUCGGGGUGUGACAGUCUGGUAUCAGAGCCUGGUUGCAUAUUUGGUGAUAAUCAGUAUCUUUGAGUGAUGGCUCGACUGCAGCGGAUCACCAUCACUCUUUGGUAAUGAUAUGUCAUUGGGUAUGCGGGAGGUUAAUGUGUUGUCUUGAGUGUUAGGUUCUCAGAGCAUAGGUUGCUCUGUAAGUAAGGAGUGUGAGAGUUGGGUAGCGUUUCUUGAGGUUUAGUCUUUUGAGAAAUAAGAAUCAUUAGAUUGACUCCUUUUCAGCUGCCCCUGGUAAGCUAGAGGAUUUGUGAUUUGGUGAGCAAAGUUUAGUAGUGAAAGGUACUUUGUUCUCUUUUCUUCUUCAUGAGAGUGAACUAGGAUUUUGUUGGCGUGUCUUUUCUGUGAUGUUGUGGUGGUGUUGUGUUUUGAUUUUAUUUCUCUUAGAGAGUUACCGAAAAUGAGAUUUUCGGUGAAUAUAAAUAUGUAUUUAUGAGGAGAGUAUGUAUAAAAAUGCUAGCUAGCCAUAUGUGUCUAUCCACCUUAAUGGCGUAGCAUAUAGCCGCAUUAUGGUGUGACGUGAGCGUUGGACGCGAGAGUAGUAGCCCUAUAUGAGUGUUUAAUUCAUAUAGGGGGUAUGGGCACAUAUUUGUACACCCGUCUGUCCACCUUAAUGGCGUAGUGUAUCACCGUAUUAAGGCGUACGUGAGCGUAGUAGCCCUAUAUAGACCCAUGAAUUUAUAGAGGGAGUAUGGACGUGUGUAAAUACAUACAUAUAUUUUAGAGCCUGAGAGGUUCGAUAUUUAUGUGAUGAAAGUUUUAUUGCUUGCAGCAUGCAUUCGAUUUUUCCUUGGAAAUUGAUUUGGGGAAACAUAUAUAUUUUAUUUAUUAAUUUAUUUUUGUCCACUCACUCUUACGUGUUUCAAAUGUUUUCCCCUGGGCCCUACGUUUUAAAAUGCCCAGUUUGCAGGAUUGCGGGUUUUUCUUACUAAAGUUAGUAAAUAAAUUGGGAGAUGUUGUGAUUUGGGGAGCACGAAGGCUCCAGGAGGAGAGGGUCAUAGAUGGAUUCUUUUGAAGUGUAUGCAGGUAUUUCUAGGAAGGGUUGUCCAUUUUCAAGAGAGGUUAUGCCGAAUUUUCGGUAAAUUUUCCUUAGAGGUGGUCCCCGCAGGAUUUACUUCGGGUUUCAAGGUGAAAUUCGGGGUGGGUCUUGACAAGAUUAGUCCUUCAUCUGUCUCCUAUGAAUAUUACAAACCAAUUUGAUAGAGAUAUGCAUGUUAUUUGUAUGGAUUAAUUAGUGCUUCAUCUGUGUCCCUUUUGAUAGGCAUAUAUAAGUCUGAAGCUUAUUUUAGUUCCAUUGUAAUGAUGUAUUUGUUUGAUGCAGGGUUUGGUGUAAUGACCUCCUACUACAAAUAAUGGUGUAAAAACCAAAUAGGUUAGCUUUUUGAAAUAAUGCUUUUUGAAAAUUUCUGAUUAGCUUCUCUUGUAUACUGAUCAAAUAGGUAAAAACCAACAGGGAUACUUGGAGAAUUUUGAGCUAUUUUUCUUAGAACUCUAAAUAAAGGUCCAUGAUCUUAUGUCUUUAGCAUGUGUGGAUUUGAUCAGUGUUUCGAGGUACUAUUAAUGUGCAACUCUUGGUUGUGAGGUAAAUGUCGAUGUGGAAGUCUUUAAGUCUUUAUUAUGUCAUAUUUUGUAAGGUUAGUCCCUUUAAGCAUGAGUCCAUAUGUACUCAAAUGAAGAAAGAAGUCUAGGGCCUAGUCUGAUUAUACUAUUAUGUAGUUUCAAACUAGGAUGGUCUCUUCAAGAGUUGAGAAGAGUAAGCGAAACCCGAAAGCUUAAUUUCACAGCAAAGCACUCCUUUUUAUGGUGCAUAAUAAAGAACAUGAUCAUAUGGUGCAUAAUAAAAAGCAUAAACAACCUGAUCUUAAGUUUAUUCAACAUGUUGGACUUGUAUGUAUUCGUCAUGCAAUUACAUUUUCUCUGAAGUUAGAUUUGUUUAACUUCUAUUGGUAUGCGCGCGCGCACACACAUAAAGUAUGUUCUGCCAAAUUUUACCGACCUUGGACGU
RNAcentral lists this long non-coding RNA (6744 nucleotides) under Fragaria vesca (wild strawberry). RNAcentral's name for it is "long non-coding RNA (FVES_LNC001810)". The record is from RNAcentral. Lineage: Eukaryota; Viridiplantae; Streptophyta; Magnoliopsida; Rosales; Rosaceae.